GUAUUAUAAUAUACAUUUAUUCUGCAUAAACUUUUUAUAUGAUGUGUGUAUAAAUUUAUAAAUCUGAACAACAAGAAAAGCCGUACACUACAACGAGAUACAGCAUUCCUCCUCAUCAAGAAAUAUUAUUCCUUGAAAUUUUUUAGUUCAGACUUAUAAAAUAAGUGUGCACAGGAGAGAAUAAAGAGAAAAAUUGGAAAGAGACGUGCACAUACUUCAAAAGAAGUCAGCAACAAUCUCUUAGCCAUUUUUCAAUUCAAUAAUGAUCCUUCCGCAGGUUCACCUACGGAAA
RNAcentral lists this unclassified non-coding RNA (292 nucleotides) under uncultured fungus. Its description in RNAcentral is "sequence contains ITS1". The record is from RNAcentral. Lineage: Eukaryota; Fungi.